AACCUAUUCCUAAGACCAUUUAUGAUCAUUCCUACCAAACCCAACUGCAGGAAAUUACCUGGACAGCCAACGGCAAGACAUCUAUUUACGUGUCAUAGCAACCCAUCAGCCGCAGGCUUCCAUUUUAUUGCUGAAGGGACAUCACAGUGCUGCUUCGUUAAGCUGCUUCUUAUAGAUUUCUCCUGUCUUUGAUAGAACUCUUGUUGAUCCUCAAGUUCUCUUAAUUUUACUUUCAGUUUAUCGAUCUCCUGAGAAAUCUGUGCAAUUUCUUGCUUUAGUUGAACAGGAAAGUCUUCCACACGCUUUCUAGCCUGAACCACAAAGUGAGCAUGUGCCAAGUAUUUCAUAUGUUCAAAAAUGAACUGAAAUUUGAAGCCAACAUAUUUCACCCAUUUCAGACAUGCAAACCAUUCGCCGAGUUUUUGAUCAGUGAUAUCCACAAUUCUAGUUGCACGCAUGUUCUCUAUAACACCACAUAGAAAAUAAAAGAUUAACGACUUUGCUUUUGGACUUAACAUGGACCCAGCACAGAUAUCCUCAUUCUUGCUAAGCAAAUCUUGAAAGGUGGGGAUAAGUGUGCGAGGGAUCAAGUAAUCCUGGAAAGUGAUGAAUUCUUCAUGUUCCAGAAUAAAAUCUGGAAUCUGAUAGUCCAAAAUGACAGAAUCCAGCCUAUCCAUGAAUCUUUUGAAGGCUUCCUCUGAAUAUGCAAAAGAAGAAGUAUAUUCGCUGCUGCUUUCAAGUGAGGUAAUAUUUGUUUCUAUUCCCUUUCGUAUAGCUUCUUCAAUAUCAUCAAGUUGCUUUCGCUCAGCAGCCUCCAGGGAAACCAGUAUAUCAUCAAAUAGAACAGCCAUGCUUUCUAUAUAUUUUGAUUUGCUAGCAUCCUUAACUAUUUCAUUUUGCUCCGUCUCUUCUAUUGCCAGUUCUUUGCUAAUCAUCUUACUAGAGAUGUACCUACCCACAAUUCUCAAUUCCACAUUUCCCCGCUUUCCUUUUAGUGAUGCCAUAACCUCAGAAAUUACACAUUUUACUUCAGCAAUCAUUGGGCAACCUUCUGAACAAUAGUAAACGCAAAGUUUUGGAUCCCUUUGUCUCUCGCAAACAUCGCAAUAAAAAUCAUCAUCUUCGUCGUCAUCCUCAACAUAUUGAUCCUUGAGUGUAAGGGUAUCUAUGUGACAUUUAUGUUUAAUGGUACAGGGCAAUGGGCCACACAGAAGGUGAAGACUGAAAUUGCAUUCCAGACAACGAAAUGCAGCAG
RNAcentral lists this unclassified non-coding RNA (1255 nucleotides) under Hevea brasiliensis (rubber tree). The record is from RNAcentral. Lineage: Eukaryota; Viridiplantae; Streptophyta; Magnoliopsida; Malpighiales; Euphorbiaceae.